UACGAAGGGGGCUAGCGUUGCUCGGAAUCACUGGGCGUAAAGGGUGCGUAGGCGGGUUUUUAAGUCAGAGGGGAAAUCCUGGAGCUCAACUCCAGAACUGCCUUUGAUACUGAAAGUCUUGAGUAUGGGAGAGGUGAGUGGAACUGCGAGUGUAGAGGUGAAAUUCGUAGAUAUUCGCAAGAACCCCAGUGGCGAAGGCGGCUCACUGGCCCAUUACUGACGCUGAGGCACGAAAGCGUGGGGAGCAAACAGG
RNAcentral lists this ribosomal RNA (253 nucleotides) under uncultured bacterium. Its description in RNAcentral is "partial 16S ribosomal RNA". It matches the Rfam family "Bacterial small subunit ribosomal RNA", at positions 524 to 776 of the family's 1533-position model. The record is from RNAcentral.